Molecule: ribosomal RNA, 182 nt
Filed under: uncultured bacterium
Lineage: Bacteria
Description: partial 16S ribosomal RNA
Rfam family: Bacterial small subunit ribosomal RNA
Source: RNAcentral
CUUCAUGAAGCUGGAAUUGCUGUAAUGGCAGGUCAGCAUACUGCCGUGAAUACGUUCCCGGGCCUUGUACACACCGCCCGUCACACCAUGAGAGUUGGGAAUACCCGAAGCCUGUGAGCUAACAUAUGAGGCAGCAGUCGAAGGUAGAAUCAAUGAUUGGGGUGAAGUCGUAACAAGGUAUC